UACAGUGGUGGCAAGCGUUGUUCGGAAUUACUGGGCGUAAAGGGCGCGUAGGCGGCCCCAUAAGUCUCGUGUGAAAGCCCUCGGCUUAACUGAGGAUCUGCACGGGAUACUGUAGGGCUCGAGUUCGGGAGAGGAAAGCGGAAUUCCGGGUGUAGCGGUGAAAUGCGUAGAUAUCCGGAGGAACACCAGUGGCGAAGGCGGCUUUCUGGACCGACACUGACGCUGAGGCGCGAAAGCUAGGGGAGCAAACGGG
Molecule: ribosomal RNA, 253 nt
Filed under: uncultured bacterium
Lineage: Bacteria
Description: partial 16S ribosomal RNA
Rfam family: Bacterial small subunit ribosomal RNA
Source: RNAcentral